AGAACCUAUUUUUUAAAAGAAAUCCUCCGGACCCGAUUUGCCUGUUGGUCUAGGACUUAAAAUAGUUCUUCACUUCACCAGUGCCACAUUCCAGAGGAGGUAGCAAGCUGAGGGAUCAGACAACAGGGAAAACUGCCACAAGCUACGUCUUUACAAACACACACACACACACACAUUCAUAUUAGAGUAGGCAUGUGGAUUGUAAUCCCUUCUUAGUGGAAAACACAUUUUCAAAAUGAAUCCCCACGCUAGAGUGAAUUACCGUGAUAGCCACAGCCGGAGAGUCCCACUGUUGAGAAACUGCAGAUCUGGCCACCUGCUUUGAGAAGCUUUGGAACAGCACCGCUGGGGUCUUUUAAAGCUGGUCUUUUCAGGUAACAGUAGGGUAGGCAAAAGGACCAGCUGCUCCCGCUGAAACUCAGGUGGCAGGCCCAGAUGAGAGGCACAACGGGCCAGAGAUAGGGAGUCGCCUGGGGAACACCCACACCGAGCAUCUUCCCAUCCAGUCACCACCCAGUAGACUGCACCUGGCGGCCGGCUGCAGGAGCCUUUGAGUGAGCACAGAGAGUUCGAGCAGAAACCAUGGGAUACAAUUGUCUAAAAGCCUUGGUUCACAAGGAGUGGGUGUGGGCUGGAAAGGGGGAUUACGUAGGUCUCUCCGCCCCCUCCUCUGCCAUCUCUUAGCCACUGGGAGGGCGCCCAGGGGCGGAGGAGGCGCUGCGAACCCGUUUGGGGGCUCCUUUGUUUCUCUUCGGGCCCCUAUCUGCCGGCUGUACCCAAGCCUUGGGAUGCCAGCCCGGCUUGGGCGGCGACCCGCCCCAAGCCAACAAUUGAACCUCGCGGGAGAAGAGAGGGUGGGUAAAAGGGUGGAUCCCGGCUCUCCGGAGGCAGUGCGCUGCAGGGGCUUCGCAAGGCAGAACUUUACAGAAGAGGAAACCACGAGAAACCAAGUGAAGCCUCAAUUCCCAUCCUCCUCCGUCCCCCGGGAGCACCUCCCUUCCAGCCUGCGCUCGUCACUUCAGGUGCCCAGUGAUUUCUCAAUGAACAUUUCCCUCUGUCUGGCAGGAAUCUGAUCUUCCCACCAGAUGAGUUCAACGCUGACUGUUUUUCAAACCAUAUCUCAAAAGCCACACAGAACCCUGAGCACACAUUUCACCAGAUUUGACAGAUGAGCUUUGGUAUGAAGAAAACCUCCAAGAAUGGACUUGGCUGAGGUGCAACAAUAAACACCAGAAUCAACCAAAUGAUAAUACCA
Molecule: long non-coding RNA, 1255 nt
Filed under: Mus spicilegus (steppe mouse)
Lineage: Eukaryota; Metazoa; Chordata; Mammalia; Rodentia; Muridae
Description: lncRNA (ENSMSIG00000013582.1)
Source: RNAcentral